CGUAGGUGGCAAGCGUUGUCCGGAAUUAUUGGGCGUAAAGCGCGCGCAGGUGGGAUAAUAAGUCUGAUGUUAAAGUUCGGGGCUCAACCCCGUGAAGCAUUUGGAUACUGUUAUUCUUGAGUGCAGGAGAGGAAAGUGGAAUUCCUAGUGUAGCGGUGAAAUGCGUAGAUAUUAGGAGGAACACCAGUGGCGAAGGCGACUUUCUGGACUGUGUCUGACACUGAGGCGCGAAAGCCAGGGUAGUGAACGGGAUUAGAUACCCCGGUAAUCCUGGCCGUAAACGAUGGGUACUAGGUGUUGGGGGUAUCGACCCCUCCAGUGCCGGAGUUAACGCAAUAAGUACCCCGCCUGGGGAGUACGGCCGCAAGGUU
This 371-nucleotide ribosomal RNA is filed under the name uncultured organism. RNAcentral describes it as "bacterial SSU rRNA". It matches the Rfam family "Bacterial small subunit ribosomal RNA", at positions 526 to 895 of the family's 1533-position model. The record is from RNAcentral.